RNAcentral lists this ribosomal RNA (472 nucleotides) under uncultured bacterium. Its description in RNAcentral is "partial 16S ribosomal RNA". It matches the Rfam family "Bacterial small subunit ribosomal RNA", at positions 28 to 507 of the family's 1533-position model. The record is from RNAcentral.
GACGAACGCUGGCGGCGUGCUUAACACAUGCAAGUCGAACGCUGAAGCUUGGUGCUUGCACUGGGAGGAUGAGCGGCGAACGGGUGAGUAAUACGUACGUCACAUGCUAUUUUUUCUGGGAUAAGCCUGUGAAAAUGGGUCUGAUACUACAUAAUACGUGCCACCGCAUGGUGGUGUGUGGCUAGGGAUUUUGUGGUAUUGGAUGGGCUGACGGCCUAUGAGCUAGUUGGUGGGGUAAUGGCACACCAAGGCGACGACGGGUAGCCGGCCUGAGAGGGUGAACGGCGACACUGGGACUGAGAGACGGACCAGACUCCUACGGGAGGCAGCAGUGGGGAGUAUUGCACAAUGGGCGGAAGCCUGAUGCAGCGACGCCGCGGGAGGAAUGACGGCCUUCGGGGAGUAAACCGCUUUCAGCACGGAAGAAGCGAAAGUGACGGUACGUGCAGAAGAAGCGCCGGCUAACUACGUG